RNAcentral lists this ribosomal RNA (253 nucleotides) under uncultured bacterium. RNAcentral describes it as "partial 16S ribosomal RNA". It matches the Rfam family "Bacterial small subunit ribosomal RNA", at positions 524 to 776 of the family's 1533-position model. The record is from RNAcentral.
UACGAAGGGGGCUAGCGUUGCUCGGAAUCACUGGGCGUAAAGGGUGCGUAGGCGGGGCUUUAAGUCAGGGGGGAAAUCCUGGAGCUCAACUCCAGAACUGCCUUUGAUACUGAAGAUCUUGAGUUCGGGAGAGGUGAGUGGAACUGCGAGUGUAGAGGUGAAAUUCGUAGAUAUUCGCAAGAACACCAGUGGCGAAGGCGAGUCCCUGGACAACACCUGACACUGAGGCACGAAAGCUAGGGGAGCAAACAGG